CAGAGUUGUAACAAACUCCCAAACCCCAUGUGAACAUACCUCGCGUUGCCUCGGCAGGGCCCACCCGGUAGCAAGCCUACCCGGGAGGGGCCUACCCUGCCGGCGGCCCACGAAACUCUUGUCUCUUUGACUGGCAUCUCUGAACGUACAAAAAAAAUAAAGUUA
RNAcentral lists this unclassified non-coding RNA (165 nucleotides) under uncultured Ascomycota. RNAcentral describes it as "sequence contains ITS1". Lineage: Eukaryota; Fungi; Ascomycota. The record is from RNAcentral.